Cydia pomonella (codling moth) is the source of this 663-nucleotide long non-coding RNA. RefSeq lists it as uncharacterized. The transcript has 2 exons. The record is from RefSeq and is a predicted model, not a curated record. Lineage: Eukaryota; Metazoa; Arthropoda; Insecta; Lepidoptera; Tortricidae.
AGGCAGCUACGCAAUAUUAUUAAAAAACCAGAUAUUGUUGGUGAUCGUUUGUUUGCCGAUUAAAUGAAUAACAAUUUAACUUCAAAUUGAAGAAAUACAACCAAAUUACUCAAAUUAAAUGAAUGCAGAGGAGAAAUAUUUCUUCACUUAAGGUGUCCAUGGGUGACGGCACUCGUGGUCGUGGCAGAUACAGUGUAUGACUAGACCAUAUAAAACUUGAUGGGCGAGACAAGAAAUCUUUUAUGAAGAAAGCUAUUUACGUUAGCCAAGGGGCUGAUAGAAAGAAUAUUUAAUAAAUUAAUUGGAAUAAUAAAUAUUUUCCUCGUGAUGGUGUGAUAAAAUAAAUUCGUGUUGCGCUCUGUAGCAAAGUUUGUUUAACCCUCAUGUCUUGAAGUCCCCGCAACUGUCAAUACAAUUUUAUUUUAAAACCGCUGUCGCUUCUCUUGUGGUUCAAUUUUGUAAUUUUUCUUACGUUUGAGUAUCCAUAUGCUACCAUGAGGUGUUAAACAACAACUUUGCCUUUUGUAUUUCUAGGUAAUACAACUGAAUUAUUGCUUCUUUUAUCUCAAAAAUGGCUUUGAAAUGACAAAGUGAGAAAGUGUCACGAUAUUAUACACCGUGGGCUGGUAAAACCUGAUAGUUUUAAAGUUGUAUUCUUAAUCG